UGGGGAAUAUUGCACAAUGGGCGCAAGCCUGAUGCAGCCAUGCCGCGUGUGUGAAGAAGGCCUUCGGGUUGUAAAGCACUUUCAGCGAGGAGGAAGGUGGUGAACUUAAUACGUUCAUCAAUUGACGUUACUCGCAGAAGAAGCACCGGCUAACUCCGUGCCAGCAGCCGCGGUAAUACGGAGGGUGCAAGCGUUAAUCGGAAUUACUGGGCGUAAAGCGCACGCAGGCGGUUUGUUAAGUCAGAUGUGAAAUCCCCGGGCUCAACCUGGGAACUGCAUUUGAAACUGGCAAGCUAGAGUCUCGUAGAGGGGGGUAGAAUUCCAGGUGUAGCGGUGAAAUGCGUAGAGAUCUGGAGGAAUACCGGUGGCGAAGGCGGCCCCCCUGGACGAAGACUGACGCUCAGGUGCGAAAGCGUGGGG
RNAcentral lists this ribosomal RNA (420 nucleotides) under uncultured bacterium. RNAcentral describes it as "partial 16S ribosomal RNA". It matches the Rfam family "Bacterial small subunit ribosomal RNA", at positions 355 to 766 of the family's 1533-position model. The record is from RNAcentral.